RNAcentral lists this ribosomal RNA (406 nucleotides) under uncultured bacterium. Its description in RNAcentral is "partial 16S ribosomal RNA". It matches the Rfam family "Bacterial small subunit ribosomal RNA", at positions 30 to 526 of the family's 1533-position model. The record is from RNAcentral.
AUUGAACGCUGGCGGCAGGCCUAACACAUGCAAGUCGAACGAGUGGCGGACGGGUGAGUAAUGUCUGGGAAACUGCCUGAUGGAGGGGGAUAACUACUGGAAACGGUAGCUAAUACCGCAUAACCUCGGAUGUGCCCAGAUGGGAUUCGCUAGUAGGUGGGGUAAAGGCUCCCCUAGGCGACGAUCCCUAGCUGGUCUGAGAGGAUGAACAGACACAGUGGAAGUCAGACACGGUCCGGACGCCUACGGGGUGCAGCAGUGGGGAAUAUUGCAAAAGGGGAGCGAGGUUGAUGCAGCCAUGACGCGUGUAUGAAGAAGGCCUUCGGGUUGUAAAGUACUUUCAGCGGGGAGGCGUUACCCGCAGAAGAAGCACCGGCUAACUCCGUGCCAGCAGCCUCGGUAAUAC